AUGCUUUCUUUGGCAGCACAUAUACUAAAAUUGGAACAAUACAGAGAUUAGCAUGGCCCCUGCAUGAGGAUGACAUGCAAAUUCGUGAGGCAUGCCAUAUUUAA
Molecule: small nuclear RNA, 104 nt
Organism: Nycticebus coucang (slow loris)
Lineage: Eukaryota; Metazoa; Chordata; Mammalia; Primates; Lorisidae
Source: RefSeq, a predicted model, not a curated record